UACAGAGGAGCCAAGCGUUGUCCGGAUUGACUGGGCGUAAAGCGCACGCAGGCGGAUGCGCGCGUGGGGUGUGAAAUCUGGCCGCUUAACGGCCAGGCGCCAUCCCAUACGGCGCGUCUGGAGUGAUGCAGAGGUCGAUGGAAUUGCCGGUGUAGUGGUGAAAUGCGUAGAGAUCGGCAGGAACACCCAGGGGGAAACCCGGCGACUGGGCAUCGACCGACGCUGAGGUGCGAGAGCGUGGGGAGCGAACCGG
RNAcentral lists this ribosomal RNA (253 nucleotides) under uncultured bacterium. RNAcentral describes it as "partial 16S ribosomal RNA". It matches the Rfam family "Bacterial small subunit ribosomal RNA", at positions 524 to 776 of the family's 1533-position model. The record is from RNAcentral.